GACGAACGCUGGCGGCGUGCUUAACACAUGCAAGUCGAACGGAAAGGCCCUGCUUUUGUGGGGUGCUCGAGUGGCGAACGGGUGAGUAGCACGUGAGUAACCUGCCCUUGACUUUGGGAUAACUUUAGGAAACUGGGGCUAAUACCGGAUAGGAGCUCCUGCUGCAUGGUGGGGGUUGGAAAGUUUCGGCGGUUGGGGAUGGACUCGCGGCUUAUCAGCUUGUUGGUGGGGUAGUGGCUUACCAAGGCUUUGACGGGUAGCCGGCCUGAGAGGGUGACCGGCCACAUUGGGACUGAGAUACGGCCCAGACUCCUACGGGAGGCAGCAGUGGGGAAUAUUGCACAAUGGGCGGAAGCCUGAUGCAGCAACGCCGCGUGCGGGAUGACGGCCUUCGGGUUGUAAACCGCUUUCGCCUGUGACGAAGCGUGAGUGACGGUAAUGGGUAAAGAAGCACCGGCUAACUACGUG
Molecule: ribosomal RNA, 468 nt
Filed under: uncultured bacterium
Lineage: Bacteria
Description: partial 16S ribosomal RNA
Rfam family: Bacterial small subunit ribosomal RNA
Source: RNAcentral